UCGUUUUUACUUUAUUAUAUCUUAUGAAUUCUCGGAGAUUGUAUGUAUAGAUCUAUUGGCACAGAGUCUGAACGGUUAAUCUUGUGGCUAAGGCGGUUAGGUCGGUAGUGUUUGCUAAUAAUGGUUGUUCUAUGGUACGACUGGGUGUUGUAUGGGAAGGGAAUUGUAGGCGAGUUUAGAAUGAUCAGAGAUUGGCUAGAUAUUACAUUUUGGUAGGUGAUGUGUGUGUGUUUUUUCAAUUUAUGUAUGGAUGUAUGUCUACUACUAUUAAUAUCACUUGUGAACUUCAUAUGGGG
This 296-nucleotide long non-coding RNA is filed under the name Solanum tuberosum (potato). RNAcentral describes it as "long non-coding RNA (STUB_LNC003456)". The record is from RNAcentral. Lineage: Eukaryota; Viridiplantae; Streptophyta; Magnoliopsida; Solanales; Solanaceae.